Molecule: small nuclear RNA, 213 nt
Filed under: Anolis carolinensis (green anole)
Lineage: Eukaryota; Metazoa; Chordata; Lepidosauria; Squamata; Anolidae
Description: 7SK RNA
Rfam family: 7SK RNA
About the family: 7SK was discovered as an abundant small nuclear RNA in the mid-70s but a possible function has only recently been suggested.
Source: Rfam by way of RNAcentral
GGAUGUGAGGGCGAUCUGGCUAUGACAUCUGUCACCCCAUUGAUCACCAGGGUUGAUUCGGCUGAUCUUGCUGGCUAGGCGGGUGUCCCCUUCCUCCCUCACCGCUCCAUGUGCGUCUCUCCCAAAGCUGCGUGCUCAGUGGAAGAGGACGACAUCUCAAGUAUAGAAGGAGUGUACCGAGGUCUCCAGUCUUCAGUCCCGGGUAUACGAUAG